CCCCAAAUUCCCACACGACUUCUCUUUUCUUUUUUAAUUUUUUAAAAGUUUUCAAUUUUGUGUGAUUCUCUUGCGUCUUCUAUAAAUCACGCCAGACCUCUCUUUUUUCCAUCCUUCCGUGUACGGUGUACCCUUGUCUCCAUUAUGUAUUUUCUUUUUCUAAAGUUUUUGGGUUGCUCUCUUUGUACUAAUUCAUCUACUCCAAGAAUUCCAGAGGCUCUGUACAGUUAAAAGCUAAGGUGGAUGAUGAAGCAGUUUGUGAUCCAUAAAAACGCCAUUGGAAUCAGCCGUGAGGAGAUGCAAAGCUCCAUUCCGAUGUCAGUUAUGGUUACGGAUCGGGGAGAGACUAUGGUCUGUCCAAAACCACGUCGUUUGAGUCUCUUGAACACCUCCUUCAACGACCACCCUGUUAGGCCACUUAGAUGGCAACUUAGUCAUCAAGGGGGAGUUUUGUGAUUCAAAACCAGGGAGUGAUGUUCUGGAUAUGGUACUUACAAAGGGUGACUGUGGACUGGAGGAGACUCCUACACAAGUAGCGUCACCGCCCCCAUUUUUUUGUGGGUCGCCGCCGAGCAGAGUAGCUAACCCAUUAAUACAGGAUUCCCGAUUUGGGGAUGAGAAGUUCACCACCUCACUUAUAUCGCUGUCUCUGAUCCCACCUCCUUUGGGCCUGUCCUCGUCUCCAUCGUCCGGUUCAAGGAAAGGGGGCCGUGUUCGAGCAAGUUUUGGGAACAAACCAGCGGUGAGAGUCGAGGGGUUCGAUUGCGCCGAAAUUGCGGCAUCCCUGCACUGGCUUAGAAACAAGAAAAGUACAUAGAGGACGAUGAAGAGGAGCUUAGAACCCACCCCUGAUGUAAAUACUUUCGGAGGGGGUUCUUUGUAUACAAUGUAAAUGAGUUUGUUGAAGAAAAUGAAGCAUAGAGCCGUAGUUUAGGUGUGGUGUUAGGAAACCAUCCCGCAAAGAUGGAAGAUAGUUUGAGGUGUGUUGACGGUGUAGUGUCCCUGGUCCGGAAGAAAUUUUUCAUUUUCUGAGGUCCUUAAGUUGAGAAUUGUCCAUAAAUCAAAGCAAGUAAUCGAGUCUAUUAGACAUUAGGCAAUAUAUGUUUAUAAUCCUAUUAUGUUUUUGCAUUGAUUCCAUAA
Molecule: RNA transcript, 1140 nt
Organism: Hibiscus syriacus
Lineage: Eukaryota; Viridiplantae; Streptophyta; Magnoliopsida; Malvales; Malvaceae
Exons: 4
Source: RefSeq, a predicted model, not a curated record